GUCGAACGCGUUGGSCCAAUUGAUUGAYGGUGCUUGCACCUGAUUGAUUUUGGUCGCCAACGAGUGGCGGACGGGUGAGUAACACGUAGGUAACCUGCCCAGAAGCGGGGGACAACAUUUGGAAACAGAUGCUAAUACCGCAUAACARCGUUGUUCGCAUGAACAACRCUUAAAAGAUGGCUUCUCGCUAUCACUUCUGGAUGGACCUGCGGUGCAUUAGCUUGUUGGUGGGGUAAYGGCCUACCAAGGCGAUGAUGCAUAGCCGAGUUGAGAGACUGAUCGGCCACAAUGGGACUGAGACACGGCCCAUACUCCUACGGGAGGCAGCAGUAGGGAAUCUUCCACAAUGGGCGCAAGCCUGAUGGAGCAACACCGCGUGAGUGAAGAAGGGUUUCGGCUCGUAAAGCUCUGUUGUUAAAGAAGAACACGUAUGAGAGUAACUGUUCAUACGUUGACGGUAUUUAACCAGAAAGUCACGGCUAACUACGUGCCAGCAGCCG
RNAcentral lists this ribosomal RNA (500 nucleotides) under Limosilactobacillus fermentum. RNAcentral describes it as "bacterial SSU rRNA". The record is from RNAcentral. Lineage: Bacteria; Bacillati; Bacillota; Bacilli; Lactobacillales; Lactobacillaceae.